AACUAGUCCUAGCCUAACUUCUCACCUACCCACUAAUAUAUAAACCAAAAACAAACCAUUUACCACAAAUAACAGUAUAGGAGAUAGAAAUUUCACAUAGCGCUAUAGAAAAAGUACCGUAAGGGAAAGAUGAAAGAAUUAGUCAAAGUACAAAAAAGCAAAGACUACCCCUUGUACCUUUUGCAUAAUGACUUAACUAGAAUAAACUGACAAAAAGAAAUUUUAGCCAAAGAACCCGAAACCAGACGAGCUACUCAAGAAUCAGUAAAUAUAAGAACACACUCAUCUAUGUGGCAAAAUAGUGAGAAGAAUCAUGAGUAGAGGUGAAAAGCCUAUCGAGCCUGGUGAUAGCUGGUUACCCGGAAGCAGAAUUUUAGUUCAACUUUAAAUUAACCCAAAGCAUACUUUUUAAGCCCACUGUUAAUUUAAAUGUUAUUCUAAAGAGGAACAGCUCUUUAGAUUGGGCUACAACCUUUAGCAGAGAGUAAACAAAUUAAUUCCCAUAGUUGGCCUAAAAGCAGCCCCCUAUUAAGAAAGCGUUCAAGCUCAACACUCAGUAAACACUAAUGUCCAAACUUACAACUGACCCCCUGCUGAUCAACUGGGUUAAUCUAUUAUUAAAUAGAAGCAAUACUGUUAAUAUGAGUAACAAGAAUUCAAAUUCUCCUAGCACAAGCUUAUACCAGACCGGAUACCUACUGGUAAUUAACAAUAAGAUAAGAUUAACUUUAACCCACAAAAACAUAUAUCCUAAUAUCUGUUAACCCAACACAGGCGUGCAUUAAGGAAAGAUUAAAAGAAAUAAAAGGAACUCGGCAAAACCAACCCCGCCUGUUUACCAAAAACAUCACCUCUAGCAUAAUCAGUAUUAGAGGCACUGCCUGCCCAGUGACACGUUUAACGGCCGCGGUAUUCUGACCGUGCAAAGGUAGCAUAAUCACUUGUUCCUUAAUUAGGGACUGGAAUGAAUGGCUCCACGAGGGUUUAACUGUCUUUUAUUUCCAAUCAGUGAAAUUGACCUCUCCGUGAAGAGGCGGAAAUGUAAAAACAAGACGAGAAGACCCUAUGGAGCUUAAAUUAACUAGCCCAAACAUCAUAUAAAUAUUGUAAGGAUAAGUCCACACUACUCAUCAUGGAUCCUGGGCUAAAAAUUUCGGUUGGGGCGACCUCGGAGCACAAAAAACCCUCCGAACAACUAACCUAGACUUAACUAGUCAAAGUACAAACACUAUAAACUGACCCAAGCUAACUUGAUCAACGGAACAAGUUACCCUAGGGAUAACAGCGCAAUCCUAUUAUAGAGUCCAUAUCGACAAUAGGGUUUACGACCUCGAUGUUGGAUCAGGACAUCCCAAUGGUGUAACCGCUAUUAAUGGUCCGUUUGUUCAACGGUUAAAGUCCUACGUGAUCUGAGUUCAGACCGGAGUAAUCCAGGUCGGUUUCUAUCUGUUAAAAAUUUCUCCCAGUACGAAAGGACAAGAGAAAUGGAGCCAACUCAAUAGAGCGCUCUCAACAUAACUGAUGACUAUAAUCUCAAUCAAUAUGUAACUCCAGACAUUACCCUAGAUAGGGGUUU
This 1576-nucleotide ribosomal RNA is filed under the name Phaner pallescens. RNAcentral's name for it is "16S ribosomal RNA". It matches the Rfam family "Bacterial large subunit ribosomal RNA", at positions 359 to 2925 of the family's 2925-position model. Lineage: Eukaryota; Metazoa; Chordata; Mammalia; Primates; Cheirogaleidae. The record is from RNAcentral.